CACAGAUAUAUGCAAGGUCAGAUAAAACAACUCUUCAGUAACCUGUUCAUUAAAAGGACUGUGCAAAACAAAAAGAGGUUAUCAAUUAGAGUUGAGGCAAGGAGAGUUUGCUUAAGACAUACAAAAGAGUUCUUUAAAGAUAGCAUAAUAAAAAUUGAAGUGUGUAACUAAAGAAGCAAUUGUAUCAGAUUCUGUAGAUUUUUUAUUUUUUUAAGUUUGGACAUUUUAUAGGAAUAAACAUGAGUUUUCACAGAUAUAAUGUUUAAUAUGCAUUGUGUAGAUCAGGUGAGACAUUUGAUUCAAAAUAAUAUUUUACUCAUUUUGUGGCACAUCCUAAAAUUGCUUUAAAAUUAGUUUAUCAAUUUUCUUUUGAAUUAAGCAGAAACAAGUAUGUGAAUGGUUGAACUUGAUGGACUCUCCUGUCUUUUCCACCUAAACUGUGUUUAUUUAUAUUUACUUGUCAUUAUUGAUUACAAUUAUACACUUUAGAAAAAUUAUUGGAGUGCUCCUUUUUACUAUAUAUAAAUAUAGUAUAUAUAUAGUGA
Non-coding RNA from Pelobates cultripes (western spadefoot toad), 545 nucleotides. Lineage: Eukaryota; Metazoa; Chordata; Amphibia; Anura; Pelobatidae. The record is from the annotation of a GenBank genome assembly.